CUGACAUACUAGUACUGAAUGGCUGGAGGGAGGUUCUGCUGUCUGACAUACUAGUACUGAAUGGCUGGAGGGAGGUUCUGCUGUCUGACAUACUAGUACUGAAUGGCUGGAGGGAGGUUCUGCUGUCUGACAUACUAGUACUGAAUGGCUGUAGGGAGGUUCUGCUGUCUGCUGUCUGAAUGCCUGUAGAGAGGUUCUGCUGUCUGACAUACUAGUACUGAAUGGCUGGAGGGAGGUUCUGCUGUCUGACAUACUAGUACUGAAUGGCUGGAGGGAGGUUCUGCUGUCUGACAUACUAGUACUGAAUGGCUGGAGGGAGGUUCUGCUGUCUGACAUACUAGUACUGAAUGGCUGGAGGGAGGUUCUGCUGUCUGACAUACUAGUACUGAAUGGCUGUAGGGAGGUUCUGCUGUCUGACAUACUAGUACUGAAUGGCUGUAGGGAGGUUCUGCUGUCUGCUGUCUGAAUGGCUGUAGAG
Molecule: non-coding RNA, 478 nt
Organism: Oncorhynchus mykiss (rainbow trout)
Lineage: Eukaryota; Metazoa; Chordata; Actinopteri; Salmoniformes; Salmonidae
Source: RefSeq, a predicted model, not a curated record